UACGUAGGGUGCAAGCGUUAAUCGGAAUUACUGGGCGUAAAGCGUGCGCAGGCGGUUAUGCAAGACAGAUGUGAAAUCCCCGGGCUCAACCUGGGAACUGCAUUUGUGACUGCAUGGCUGGAGUGCGGCAGAGGGGGAUGGAAUUCCGCGUGUAGCAGUGAAAUGCGUAGAUAUGCGGAGGUACACCGAUGGCGAAGGCAAUCCCCUGGGCCUGCACUGACGCUCAUGCACGAAAGCGUGGGGAGCAAACAGG
RNAcentral lists this ribosomal RNA (253 nucleotides) under uncultured bacterium. RNAcentral's name for it is "partial 16S ribosomal RNA". It matches the Rfam family "Bacterial small subunit ribosomal RNA", at positions 524 to 776 of the family's 1533-position model. The record is from RNAcentral.